AAAAGAAAUUGUAGUAGUUGACAUAGGCUUGCUCCUGAUACUUGUAAGUUUUCUUUGGUGCUCAACGUGACUUCAGGGUAAGUGUUAAGAAGUAAAGGACCGAUGACACUGAAAGUCAUAAAAUCGAGGUGGAUCUUUGAUUUUAUCUACAGCCGUUGCAGCUGACACCCCAUAACACACAGGAGAAAAUGGUUUAGGUUUUGUCUCUGAUUAUUAUUUUUCUUUGGUGCAAAUCUGGCAGUCCUUGUGAAAGUCUGUCCAUUUUUCUUUGCCUCAGUUUCCCUUUGUUGCUUUGUGGGUCCCGAGGAAGUCCCCUACCAGCUCCUGGGUCCCUACCACUAACAGAUGAUUUCUGCCCAAGAGAAAAGGGAAGAGCCAAAAACAUGUCUGCAGUGUGUCUACAGACUCCUGCCAGGACACCUACACAUAUCGAUGUCUUCCAUACUCUUCACAAUGUAUCUGCCAACCUCAGCUGCGUUUCGUUUCUUGUCCCGGAUCCACCUUUGCUGCCUGAGCUUGCGCUCUCUCACGCGGGCAUAAAUAGGCUUCUGCUGCUGCCAGAAAUCACUGCGUGUGUCGAGGUGAAAGAAGACACGAGCAUUCACUGCACUGAGUUCGAAGGAAAAUGUGGCUUGGCAUCUCAGAGGAAUAAGGCACUAUUUCACUGGACCACCCCAAAAUUAAGCAAUCAAUAAAGUGUCCAUUAUCAAAAAUGUGAACCUUCAACAUCAGUUUCAGGUAACAUUUUGAGCGGGCAACUAGACCGUGCUUGUCUCCUGCUCUCAGCUUCAGCGCCUGCAACGCAACAGACACAGUAUGUCAUCAGUGCUGGCUCAACAGGACAGGUAUUUAC
Long non-coding RNA from Falco peregrinus (peregrine falcon), 853 nucleotides. RefSeq lists it as uncharacterized. Lineage: Eukaryota; Metazoa; Chordata; Aves; Falconiformes; Falconidae. The transcript is spliced from 4 exons. The record is from RefSeq and is a predicted model, not a curated record.